RNAcentral lists this non-coding RNA (48 nucleotides) under Pseudomonas sp. RNAcentral describes it as "Guanidine-II sequence". It matches the Rfam family "Guanidine-II riboswitch aptamer (mini-ykkC)". From Rfam's summary of the family: Simpler in structure and has fewer highly conserved nucleotide positions than the ykkC-yxkD leader. The record is from RNAcentral. Lineage: Bacteria; Pseudomonadati; Pseudomonadota; Gammaproteobacteria; Pseudomonadales; Pseudomonadaceae.
CGCGAGGGACGGCCUUCGUGCAACCAGUACUACAGCGGGACGGCCCGC